This 120-nucleotide ribosomal RNA is filed under the name uncultured bacterium. Its description in RNAcentral is "partial 16S ribosomal RNA". It matches the Rfam family "Bacterial small subunit ribosomal RNA", at positions 32 to 145 of the family's 1533-position model. The record is from RNAcentral.
AAUCAACGCUGGCGGCGUGCGUAACACAUGCAAGUCGAACGGGAAAGCGGGGGCAACUCCGCGAGUAUAGUGGCAGACGGGUGAGUAACACGUGAACAAUCUACCCUUGAGAGGGGAAUA